This 229-nucleotide ribosomal RNA is filed under the name uncultured bacterium. RNAcentral's name for it is "partial 16S ribosomal RNA". It matches the Rfam family "Bacterial small subunit ribosomal RNA", at positions 568 to 796 of the family's 1533-position model. The record is from RNAcentral.
CGUGUAGGCGGCCUGGCAAGUGUCCUGUGAAAGCCCCCGGCUCAACCGGGGAACUGCAGGGCAAACUGCUCGGCUUGAGCUCGGUAGAGGUGCCUGGAACUCUAGGUGGAGCGGUGAAAUGCGUAGAUAUCUAGAGGAACGCCAGAGGCGAAAGCGGGGCACUGGGACGAUGCUGACGCUGAGACCCGAAAGCGUGGGGAGCAAACAGGAUUAGAUACCCUGGUAGUCC